GCCCAGGAAGCGUGUGUAGUCCACGAAGUAGAAGACCGAGGAGAAGCUCAAGUACAGGAAACUGUCUAUGGGACGAUCUGGCCAUCGGGGACAGGAGUUGACAUAGUAGCCCAUGGACAACAUGCUCAUAAUGUGCUCCACUUGAAGACGAGCAAGUGGUGGCCACGAUGGUGAUCAUGUUAAUGUGCUGCGCCAGGGAUCUGCGCUCUUUGGGCAACUUCAGAGGCGGCAACUUGGCCUCCACCAACUGCCAUGACUGAGCUAUUUCUGGCCACUUUCUGGCCAGUUGAAAAAACGACAAAGAGAUAAGGAAUAUGGACAAGUAGAAGACCAGGGUCUCCACCGAAUCAAAAUUAAAGGACACACUUGUCACAAAGGCCACCAUAUAUCCAGAGCUAACACCAAAAAACAGGAUGGUUACCAGGGCGUAAUAGGAUCGAACGCUGAACCAGGUGAAGGUUAGGUCUUCUGCGAACUUGGAGCUCACUUUUCGAACUGGCAUCAAAGCAAAGAUCUGCGCGAUUAUGAGGACUGAAAGAAACUCGUAUAAGAAGUAAAAAAAAAUGUAGUAAGCUUAAAAACAUUACCAGGCUUGAUGGCUUCCUGGAAAGAUCCACUGUACUUAUAAUCCUCCUGUCUGAUGCGAAGAAGCCAAGCUUUUACUG
Drosophila melanogaster (fruit fly) is the source of this 665-nucleotide non-coding RNA. The record is from Ensembl. Lineage: Eukaryota; Metazoa; Arthropoda; Insecta; Diptera; Drosophilidae.